AUUGAACGCUGGCGGCAGGCCUAACACAUGCAAGUCGAACGGUAACAGGAAGAAGCUUGCUUCUUUGCUGACGAGUGGCGGACGGGUGAGUAAUGUCUGGGAAACUGCCUGAUGGAGGGGGAUAACUACUGGAAACGGUAGCUAAUACCGCAUAACGUCGCAAGACCAAAGAGGGGGACCUUCGGGCCUCUUGCCAUCGGAUGUGCCCAGAUGGGAUUAGCUAGUAGGUGGGGUAACGGCUCACCUAGGCGACGAUCCCUAGCUGGUCUGAGAGGAGGACCGGCCACACUGGAACUGAGACACGGUCCAGACUCCUACGGGAGGCAGCAGUGGGGAAUAUUGCACAAUGGGCGCAAGCCUGAUGCAGCCAUGCCGCGUGUAUGAAGAAGGCCUUCGGGUUUUAAAGUACUUUCAGCGGGGAGGAAGGGAGUAAAGUUAAUACCUUUGCUCAUUGACGUUACCCGCAGAAGAAGCACCGGCUAACUCCGUG
RNAcentral lists this ribosomal RNA (490 nucleotides) under uncultured bacterium. Its description in RNAcentral is "partial 16S ribosomal RNA". It matches the Rfam family "Bacterial small subunit ribosomal RNA", at positions 30 to 507 of the family's 1533-position model. The record is from RNAcentral.